This 476-nucleotide ribosomal RNA is filed under the name uncultured bacterium. RNAcentral describes it as "partial 16S ribosomal RNA". It matches the Rfam family "Bacterial small subunit ribosomal RNA", at positions 28 to 507 of the family's 1533-position model. The record is from RNAcentral.
GAUGAACGCUGGCGGCGUGCUUAACACAUGCAAGUCGAACGAGAAGUGAAGACGGAAACCUUCGGGCGGAAGGCUUUAUUUCGAGUGGCGGACGGGUGAGUAACGCGUGGGUAACCUGCCUCAUACAGGGGGAUAACAGUUGGAAACGACUGUUAAUACCGCAUAAGACCACAGCACCGCAUGGUGCGGGGGUAAAAACUCCGGUGGUAUGAGAUGGACCCGCGUUCGAUUAGCCAGUUGGCGGGGUAACGGCCCACCAAAGCGACGAUCGAUAGCCGAUCUGAGAGGAUGACCGGCCACAUUGGGACUGAGACACGGCAAACUCCUACGGGAAGCAGCAGUGGGGAAUAUUGCACAAUGGGGGAAACCCUGAUGCAGCGACGCCGCGUGAGUGAAGAAGUAUUUCGGUAUGUAAAGCUCUAUCAGCAGGGAAGAAAAUGACGGUACCUGAGUAAGAAGCCCCGGCUAACUACGUG